Molecule: ribosomal RNA, 275 nt
Filed under: uncultured bacterium
Lineage: Bacteria
Description: partial 16S ribosomal RNA
Rfam family: Bacterial small subunit ribosomal RNA
Source: RNAcentral
GCGUGAGUGAUGAAGGCCUUCGGGUUGUAAAGCUCUUUCGCCCGCGACGAUGAUGACGGUAGCGGGAGAAGAAGCCCCGGCUAACUUCGUGCCAGCAGCCGCGGUAAUACGAAGGGGGCGAGCGUUGUUCGGAAUUACUGGGCGUAAAGGGCGCGCAGGCGGCCCUGUCAGUCAGGCGUGAAAGCCCCGGGCUCAACCUGGGAAUGGCGCUUGGGACGGCGGGGCUGGAGAUCGGGAGAGGAGCGUGGAAUUCCCAGUGUAGAGGUGAAAUUCGU